RNAcentral lists this non-coding RNA (29 nucleotides) under Rattus norvegicus (Norway rat). Lineage: Eukaryota; Metazoa; Chordata; Mammalia; Rodentia; Muridae. The record is from RNAcentral.
UGUUUGUUACUGCAGGCUCUUGACCUUUC